ACUCCUACGGGAGGCAGCAGUGAGGAAUAUUGGUCAAUGGAGGGAACUCUGAACCAGCCAUCCCGCGUGUAGGAAGACGGCCUUAUGGGUUGUAAACUACUUUUAUACAGGAAGAAACGUACCCUCGUGAGGGUGCCUGACGGUACUGUAGGAAUAAGCACCGGCUAACUCCGUGCCAGCAGCCGCGGUAAUACGGAGGGGUGCGAGCGUUAUCCGGAUUUAUUGGGGUUUAAAGGGUCCGUAGGCGGAUUAAUAAGUCAGUGGUGAAAUCCCAUCGCUUAACGAUGGAACUGCCAUUGAUACUGUUAGUCUUGAAUGAGGGUGCAGUGGUUGGAAUGUGUAGUGUAGCGGUGAAAUGCAUAGAUAUUACACAGAACACCGAUUGCGAAGGCAGAUCACUAACCCUAAAUUGACGCUGAGGGACGAAAGCGUGGGGAGCGAACAGGAUUAGAUACCCUGGUAGACUGUCA
RNAcentral lists this ribosomal RNA (470 nucleotides) under uncultured bacterium. RNAcentral's name for it is "bacterial SSU rRNA". It matches the Rfam family "Bacterial small subunit ribosomal RNA", at positions 335 to 802 of the family's 1533-position model. The record is from RNAcentral.